Molecule: unclassified non-coding RNA, 1566 nt
Filed under: Leishmania donovani
Lineage: Eukaryota; Euglenozoa; Kinetoplastea; Trypanosomatida; Trypanosomatidae
Description: gene:LdHU3.34.2500(CDS-product:ubiquitin-conjugat ing_enzyme_E2_putative)
Source: RNAcentral
GGUGCACCACAGAUAUCUUCAAGGAAAACACGCGUUCCCCCCCCUCCCCAAACCCAAAAGGUAGAAGUCGACCACAAAGAACGGAAGAGACACACUCAUAGGCGCGUCGUCGAAUUGUACACGAACGACCCCAGCAUAGAAGUGGUUUGGCGUCUAACGCUGGAUCUGGCGAUUCUACGCUGUUUGGCCUACAAGGGCGCGCACACACACGUAUAUACACGCAGAGGGAACAGCUCUGCACCCUUGGUCGCGCGGCAUCAUAGUGCAUCCUAUUCCUUCAUGUUUGCUGGGGUUUUCACGACGGGUAGUCUCUUUUUUCGGCUUUCUCUUAUUUUUUCACUCAUUAUUUUUUUUCCCUUUCCCUAGAAAUGUCGGUGCGCACUGUGCGGCGAGCGAACAUGGACUUUGCCCGUCUUAAGGAGCUGGCUAACAGCGGUAGUCCCACGAUCAGCGCUGUGGACAUGGCGGAUGAGAAUGGCGCCACAGCCCAUGGCGACGCUUUUCACUGGCGCAUUCGCGUUAUGCCACCCGCUGAGAGCGUCUAUCAUGGCACCACGUAUGAUAUCUUGUUCACGCUCUCCCAGGAAGAUUACCCGUUCAAGCCACCGGCGGUGCGCGUACUCACCCGCAUUUUCAACCCCAUGGUAUCAGAAGACGGCGCCGUAUGCGAGGGUCUUCUGCAUAACGAUGACUGGAAACCCACCACCCCCGUUGCAGAUGUUGUAGGUCAUGUUGUGAAGGCAAUCUUCCUUGAUUACAAGACCUACGCAGUCUUGAAUGAGACGGCAGCUGGCGUAAUGGUCACCGCAACUCCUGAAGAGUUCAAGAAACACGUGCAGCGUACGCGCGCCAGUGAUGCAAGCACGUGAAGUCGUAGCGGAAGUCUUACAUAACCAUUAACCCGUCACACUAGCUUGUGCAACCACUCCUUGUGACGAACAUUCUCGCAAAAAGGUGGAGCUCCGUGCAUUAUGCACUUAAGUGUCUCUCUGUGGAGGCGGUAUUCUCUACUGAUAUUUCUCGUGCUCUCUUCCACCCUGUCUCCCCCCCCCAUCCCUUACUCACGAGGGGGAGACAUCUCUUGCCGGUGCGGAUAUGCCGUUUCUCUUUGUUGUUGUGUGUGUGUCAGAGCGCUGCCAUGGGUUGUAUGUAUAAGUGUGUUGGAGAGCGGAUGUUCGACUCUGUUGGCAAGGUGCGCUACACUCUGCCACCAUCGCUUUUUUUCCCGUUUACUGCUCUCUGUAGGCUCACAACUCCCUUGGCCAUGCUAUAAUGUUGUCCCCUCGAUCUUCCUCCCCGUCAGUGAGUGCCGAAAUCUCUAGGUAUUCGCUUCACCCUUCUCCCCUUUAUUUCCACCUUCGCAUCCCUCCAACGUCAACACUCCAGUGUCGCUAUUUAUGCUUCAUUUUAUUGUUGUUGCUGUCGUUCUGUUUUGUCUCUCUGUCUUUGUCGGUCUCUCUUUCUGCUCUCCCGCGAUUUGUGUCAGUCCUCUCUCCCCUGAGGUGGUUCGCGGCCAACGUCUGCUGUGAGGAUGGGUGGGGGAAGCUUGAGAGACACCUAGUAAAC